RNAcentral lists this ribosomal RNA (496 nucleotides) under uncultured bacterium. Its description in RNAcentral is "partial 16S ribosomal RNA". It matches the Rfam family "Bacterial small subunit ribosomal RNA", at positions 28 to 506 of the family's 1533-position model. The record is from RNAcentral.
GAUGAACGCUGGCGGCGUGCCUAAUACAUGCAAGUCGAGCGAACGGACGAGAAGCUUGCUUCUCUGAUGUUAGCGGCGGACGGGUGAGUAACACGUGGAUAACCUACCUAUAAGACUGGGAUAACUUCGGGAAACCGGAGCUAAUACCGGAUGAUAUUUUGAACCGCAUGGUUCAAAAGUGAAAGACGGUCUUGCUGUCACUUAUAGAUGGAUCCGCGCUGCAUUAGCUAGUUGGUAAGGUAACGGCUUACCAAGGCAACGAUGCAUAGCCGACCUGAGAGGGUGAUCGGCCACACUGGAACUGAGACACGGUCCAGACGCCUACGGGAGGCAGCAGUAGGGAAUCUUCCGCAAGGGGCGAAAGCCUGACGGAGCAACGCCGCGUGAGUGAUGAAGGUCUUCGGAUCGUAAAACUCUGUUAUUAGGGAAGAACAUAUGUGUAAGUAACUGUGCACAUCUUGACUGUACCUAAUCAGAAAGCCACGGCUAACUACGU